ACUCCUACGGGAGGCAGCAGUGGGGAUAUUGCACAAUGGGGGAAACCCUGAUGCAGCGACGCCGCGUGAAGGAAGAAGUAUCUCGGUAUGUAAACUUCUAUCAGCAGGGAAGAUAGUGACGGUACCUGACUAAGAAGCCCCGGCUAACUACGUGCCAGCAGCCGCGGUAAU
This 171-nucleotide ribosomal RNA is filed under the name uncultured bacterium. Its description in RNAcentral is "partial 16S ribosomal RNA". It matches the Rfam family "Bacterial small subunit ribosomal RNA", at positions 335 to 524 of the family's 1533-position model. The record is from RNAcentral.